AAGUCGUAACAAGGUUUCCGUAGGUGAACCUGCGGAAGGAUCAUUAUUGUAUUCUUAAAUCGGCAUUUCGGUGCCUCCCAUUUACUUCAAACUUUAACGUCUGAAUCUUUUGUUGUUCUUCUGAACUCCAAUAUGAAUUUUAUUAAACAACUUUUAACAACGGAUCUCUUGGCUCUC
RNAcentral lists this unclassified non-coding RNA (177 nucleotides) under fungal sp. RNAcentral's name for it is "partial internal transcribed spacer region". The stretch from base 1 to 46 matches the Rfam family "Eukaryotic small subunit ribosomal RNA", at positions 1786 to 1831 of the family's 1831-position model. Lineage: Eukaryota; Fungi. The record is from RNAcentral.